RNAcentral lists this ribosomal RNA (235 nucleotides) under Orlajensenia leifsoniae. Its description in RNAcentral is "Leifsonia flava partial 23S ribosomal RNA". It matches the Rfam family "Bacterial large subunit ribosomal RNA", at positions 1 to 228 of the family's 2925-position model. The record is from RNAcentral. Lineage: Bacteria; Bacillati; Actinomycetota; Actinomycetes; Micrococcales; Microbacteriaceae.
UUCAAGAUUCUAAGAGCAAACGGUGGAUGCCUUGGCAUCUGGAGCCGAAGAAGGACGUCGUAAUCUGCGAUAAGCCUCGGGGAGCUGAUAAACGAGCUGUGAUCCGAGGAUUUCCGAAUGGGGAAACCCCGCCAGGCCCUUUGGGUGACCUGGUGACUCCCGCCUGAAUAUAUAGGGCGGGUAGAGGGAACGUGGGGAAGUGAAACAUCUCAGUACCCACAGGAAGAGAAAACAA